ACUCAAAUCGCACUUGUCAACACGAGAACCGCUUGUUUUGAACAACGAACACAAUCCACUCCGCAAAAACUUACUACAUAGUAGUUCAAACACCAAAACCUGUGAAAAAACUUACUACAUAGUAGUUCAAACACCAAGACCUGUGAAAAAGAAAACGAGUUAAACAAACAACGAAUUUUGCUUCAAAUUUAAAUGUGCACACACGCACUAUCACCUACUGCUAUACAUAGAUACUCCCCACAUAACUCCUACAUGACUACAUGACUACAUAGUUUAUAUAUAACUAUAUAUUACUACAUGUGACUACACCAUAUAUUACUGUAUGUUACUACACGUGACUAUAUAUUACUAUAUGUGACUACACCAUAUAUUAUUGUAUGUUACUACACAUGACUAUAUAUGACUACAUGUAUAUGACCACAUGUGACUAUAUACAUGUAUGUGACUUUAUUUGUCCCUUAAAGUACCUGACUUUGUUCUCCAGGCGAUACGGAACAGCUUAUAUUAUCAAAAUCAAAUUACAAACAGAGUAUGCUAAUCAUUAUUCUCCGUAUAACCAAAGGUCAAAGAUCAAAGCAAGUUGAAGUGGAACAU
This 594-nucleotide long non-coding RNA is filed under the name Erythranthe guttata (spotted monkey flower). RNAcentral describes it as "long non-coding RNA (EGUT_LNC001294)". Lineage: Eukaryota; Viridiplantae; Streptophyta; Magnoliopsida; Lamiales; Phrymaceae. The record is from RNAcentral.